UGGAGAAAAUAGUUCAGCUAGGCUAAUACUACCUCUGCUCAUGUCAUUUACAUUUUUUCUUUUUCUUUUUUUUUUUAUUA
This 80-nucleotide non-coding RNA is filed under the name Heterosigma akashiwo. Lineage: Eukaryota; Raphidophyceae; Chattonellales; Chattonellaceae. The record is from RNAcentral.